GACGAACGCUGGCGGCGUGCUUAACACAUGCAAGUCGAACGGAAAGGCCCUGCUUUUGUGGGGUGCUCGAGUGGCGAACGGGUGAGUAACACGUGAGUAACCUGCCCUUGACUUUGGGAUAACUUCAGGAAACUGGGGCUAAUACCGGAUAGGAGCUCCUGCUGCAUGGUGGGGGUUGGAAAUUUUCGGCGGUUGGGGAUGGACUCGCGGCUUAUCAGCUUGUUGGUGGGGUAGUGGCUUACCAAGGCUUUGACGGGUAGCCGGCCUGAGAGGGUGACCGGCCACAUUGGGACUGAGAUACGGCCCAGACUCCUACGGGAGGCAGCAGUGGGGAAUAUUGCACAAUGGGCGGAAGCCUGAUGCAGCAACGCCGCGUGCGGGAGGACGGCCUUCGGGUUGUAAACCGCUUUCGCCUGUGACGAAGCGUGAGUGACGGUAAUGGGGAAAGAAGCACCGGCUAACUACGU
Molecule: ribosomal RNA, 467 nt
Filed under: uncultured bacterium
Lineage: Bacteria
Description: partial 16S ribosomal RNA
Rfam family: Bacterial small subunit ribosomal RNA
Source: RNAcentral